UGUUGAAAGGCUGCAGGGAAAGAAAAUGAGACUUGAGGACAGGACAGUGGAAUUGAUUUCAUGCUUAGCUAAAUGAGGGUUUCAGCAGAGGACCUUUUUGUGGUGAGGCUACAGAAUCAGAAGGAACGUUUGUCUGGGCAACUGGGAGAUUUGCAGUUUUUCAUGCACCCAACCAAGACAUUAGGGUUGGUAUCAUCCCAAAUGACUGGCAAAGAUUGCUUGUAACUGUCAGUGUAGGACAGGCAAGGCAGGUGUAGGUUAGGGAGGGCAUCCAUCUGUGAGCUCUGACUGGAUGUGAGGACCUGUCACACUUGACCAGAGAUGAAGGCUGCUGCACAUUCCUGGAUCAGGGGACUCCAUGUUGGACACCACGACCUGGAGAAGUCCCCUUCUGGAUGGCUGCAGUGAUGACCUAGCCCAAGAUGAACCAACCCUUCUACGAUGAGGACUUUGCCCAAGAUGAACCGACCUUUUCCGCCUCUUUUCCACGGGAUGUCUUCAGAUGUUGGACCUUGCCAAACUGUACACAUGCCUCAAUGGCUGCUACGUCACUCUGCCCAACAGGACAUGGUCAUCAAGAUUUUUUUUUUUUUUUUUUUAAAUGGACUUUAUCCCCCCCCUGUCCUGACUGACCCACAACCACACAUGACUAAACACUUUACAUGUGAUGCAUCACCACACUAAAAUACAGACACUGCUACUUUAAGCCUGUAAUGUUUGACAUUGAAAACUUGUAUUUAUUGCCUUCUUUAUUUCAAGUAAAACUUUUGUUCUUAACUUUAUGGUUGACUUGUAUUUUUUCAGUGAUUCUGUAAUGAGUGUUAUUUUGAAAAGUUAGUGCUUUCAACUUAAAGAUAUGUUCUUUUAAAAUGAAUUGCACUGAUCUGUUACUGUAGACUUGGAAUCUUUUGACACUGCUCCAAGUGUUCUGUUGAUCUUAACCAGAAAACUCAAACCCUAUAUGGAUUUGUACAAGGUUUUAAAGGGAAUAUAAUAAAUUGGACUCUAAAGCAGGGAAUGCAUCAGUGGAUGGUGAUGCUGCUACUUGCCCCCAUCUCACAACUUAC
Long non-coding RNA from Solea solea (common sole), 1067 nucleotides. RefSeq lists it as uncharacterized. The transcript is spliced from 3 exons. The record is from RefSeq and is a predicted model, not a curated record. Lineage: Eukaryota; Metazoa; Chordata; Actinopteri; Pleuronectiformes; Soleidae.